GGCGGCGUAGCUCAGCAGGUAGAGCAGGGGACUCAUAAGCCCUGUGUCGGGGGUUCAAAGCCCUCCGCCGCCACCA
This 76-nucleotide transfer RNA is filed under the name Pseudomonadota bacterium. RNAcentral describes it as "tRNA-Met". It matches the Rfam family "tRNA". From Rfam's summary of the family: Transfer RNA (tRNA) molecules are approximately 80 nucleotides in length. The record is from RNAcentral. Lineage: Bacteria; Pseudomonadati; Pseudomonadota. RNAcentral also lists the same sequence under 4 other names.